This 94-nucleotide non-coding RNA is filed under the name unclassified sequences. RNAcentral describes it as "PhotoRC-II RNA". It matches the Rfam family "PhotoRC-II RNA". The record is from RNAcentral.
UUUCUAUGUGCACCCGCUUAACCGAGACCUAUGGGUGGUUAAAUUACGUCUCUAAUAUCCUGUAGUGAAGGGAUUACAGGAAAUAUAGUAUCGC